Molecule: long non-coding RNA, 1972 nt
Filed under: Strongylocentrotus purpuratus (purple sea urchin)
Lineage: Eukaryota; Metazoa; Echinodermata; Echinoidea; Camarodonta; Strongylocentrotidae
Description: uncharacterized LOC115926689
Source: RNAcentral
UGUAAGUGACCAAACUGGGUGGUCUAAUCCCCCCUGGCCAAACUAGUACAGACAGCCUUUAAAGAACCCUUUUGGAGCCAGAAGGAUGUUGACUCCUGUACUUUAAUACAAAGUUAAUGCCCUUCUGGCUCCAAACCGACAAUUUUCUCUGACAGAGAAAUGUAUAUUUGGCUGGCCGAUUGGUAGGCUCCAUGCAUGGAACUUAAACUAUUUUAUCAUCAAAUUGUCUUAAAGGGGCCGUUUGUUAAGAAGACAGAAUUAAAAUAAAUUGUCAUAUUUAGAUGUUUAUGUUUAAUCCCAAUAUGAUUCUGUAAUGCAGUUGAAUGCUACUUUUCAAACACCCAACAGUAGAUGGCCCGACAUAUGCUCUGGCGACAACUACUCCAGGCUUCAUUUCGUCAAAAGGUAUAUUGGGUAGCAAUUAGGUAUCGGGUUAGCUUUAGGAUAAGGGUUAUAUGGUUUGGUAUUUUUGUGGGUCUCGGGUUAGAAGUUUGAGAAUUGUAGUAGUGUUUGGAUAUUGACCACCGAGCAAAUCUCGCUGGAGCACGUGUCAGACAUACACCUGAAUGGUAAAAUGAAACUUUGUUGAUAUUUUAGUCUGUGCCUUUUGAACUGGUUUUUAUGGAAAGCUGUGUUUUCUUAUGCAUGAUUUUUACCCCCACAUUUUCAAUUCACAUGCAGUCCCACAUAGCUCAUGAUAUAUAAAUCAUAUGCCUUUUUAUGUUGGAUUUCUGUGGGUUAAGAUUGUGUUACACACAAACUAAAUCUAAAAUGGCCUUUCAAGUGAAACUGAAACAUUUUCUCUGUUGAGAGUCAGAAAGGUGUCAUCUAUACUUUUCAUUUCCUUUUUUGUUGUUGCAUAGAAUAGAUGUCUCUGAAAAGACAGAAAAGCACCAUUUAAAGACUUUGUAAGCAAUAUGGAGAUAUUUUGCACUAACAUUUCAGUAUGUGGUUUAACUUCUAAACUUAUUUGAUAAGUAAAGAGCACAAGAUAUUUGGCCUGUCUGGAUUUAGUGCAUUGUAGGAUGUAUACAUAGUAGAAGAAAAGAUAGAAAUGUGGUAUUACUAUUAGAAGCAGGCUUUUUGACCUUCUUUCCAAAAGAUGAAACAGUUAAUUGCCAAUAGACUGCAUGAUUGAGAACACUCAUGCAGUGUAAGUAGUAGUGGUAGUAGUAGUAGUAGUAGUAGUAGUAGUAGUACAUGUAGUAGUAGUAAACUCGUAAUAGAAGUAUUCGUAGCGGUUAUAGUAUUUUUAGUGGUUGUAGUAUUUAUAGCAGUUGUUAUAGUGUCAAUAUUUGUAGUCAGCCUACAUAAUUGUAGUAGCAGAAGUAUUUUAAAGCUAGCGGCCAACAGAAACGGAACCUUGGUUUUGAAAGAGACCUAAAAGCAAUGUAAUAUUUAUCUCAAGUAAAUACAUAUUCAUUGUGUGUAAUAUCCAUAUUUUGCAUCAAAGAACAAAUUGGUCUGCAAAAAAGAAAUAUUCAUGUAUAUUUUUUGUACCAUUAACAAAAAAACCUGCAAAUCAUGUAAUUGUUAUGGUCAGUAUCACAUUUAAUUUCGACUCAUUGGACAGUGUCCACUCCCAACUGAUUAAAUUUCUGAACGUAUAAUACUGUUGAGAGGGAUCUGAUGUAUAUGAGGUAGUGAUUUAAUGUCUAUGUGGCUCCAAACCGACAAUAAUAGACCUGUAUUUGGACAGAAAUUGUGGGUAUAUGUAAUAUCAUUCCAGUUAGAACACAAAGCAUUAAGUUGGAGUAGAAAUAAUUUGAAAUAUACCCUGUAUUGUAUAGGCAAUAUUAUAUCCAAAUCUACACGAAGACAGUAAUGAAUAGGUGAUUAUUUAUUUUCUGGUAAACUGUGUAAUAUAUAUAUCAAAUAUAGUUACUCAAAUAUAUUUCUAUGUUGUCAAAUUUUUGUCAUGUUGUCAAAUGUAUUGCUUUUAUUAAAAAACGUCUAUUGUCAUGCUCGCCAA